RNAcentral lists this unclassified non-coding RNA (657 nucleotides) under Anthoxanthum mexicanum. RNAcentral describes it as "partial external transcribed spacer". Lineage: Eukaryota; Viridiplantae; Streptophyta; Magnoliopsida; Poales; Poaceae. The record is from RNAcentral.
CUUGAUAUCCACUGUGGAAUUCGCCCUUUGGCUACGCGAGCGCAUGAGCUGUUUUGGACACGUGUCUGCUGGUAGGUCCCCCGUCUUUGUGCGGCCGACUACUGGCGCCGUGUCUUGUCAUUCGUGUGAGUUAUCUUACUUUGCCUUUCAAGUGCUUGCGUGAUGUUACCUGACCUAUGGGUAUUGGUGCCUCAUACAUGGUUGCCUCGCGGUGGACGCCUUUGGGUGCGCUGCUGCGGCCAUAUGGCGAUUGCGGCAUUGCCUCGUGGUGCUGGCAUGUUUUUGUGCCUAGUUGCUAUCAUGGCAGUCUUGCUCUCGCUUGUUGGUUUUGGAUGUUGCUCAUGAUAUAGCUCGUGGUCCUUCUGGUUGCCGCGAUCUAACACUGCAAAUGCUCUCUGAAUAUGACGACAACCGGAACAUGUGGUGCCUCUACCUCUCCACAGUUAGUGGUAGGAUACGCAACAUACUGUGCCGACCCUCAUAAAGUAGGACGAGCUUGGCCCGCUUAACUGCGACAACUGGUCCGGCUGUUUACCUCUGUCUUGCCACGCAAGUGGCGGCGGGUGGACGACUACCGGCGUUGGAAGUCAAAGAGGACGUGCUACCUGGUUGAUCCUGCCAGUAGUCAUAUGCUUGUCUAAGGGCGAAUUCCACAUU